AAUAUAUUCACGGACGUUAUAUUAAAAGUACAUCUUCCGUUCAGUAACGUUAAAUGAUGCCGUUAAGACCUCCGUGUCUGAGGCGAAAACCGCGUCUGUUUUUUUUUUAUAUAUAUAACAACAAUUUUCAACCCAAACUUGGGUUAAAACAUCCCAAAGUCCUACCCAAUGGUCUCAACCCAGCAUUUGGGUUGAAAAAACAACCCAGCGUUUUUUAGAGUGU
This is a long non-coding RNA of Carassius carassius (crucian carp), 223 nucleotides long. RefSeq lists it as uncharacterized. NCBI's taxonomy places the organism in Eukaryota, Metazoa, Chordata, Actinopteri, Cypriniformes, Cyprinidae. The record is from RefSeq and is a predicted model, not a curated record. The transcript has 2 exons.